GUGACUAGAAAUUUAUUUCAACACAGCUCUAUUUUCAGGGAACUAGGACUUCCGUAAAAAGGGCAACCAACUGUGUAUCUCCUCAGACAACCACACUGAAGAAACUUGAUCACCCACAGAAAUUCUGAACCAGGAACUGUAAGUUCCCAGCAAUAAUUAAUGGCUGAAGGGAUGACUCAUUGCACUUGUAACAGUGCAUUUUCACUGCCAGACGCUGUUAAAAAUGUACCUGUUCUGGACAGCCAAACUUCAGCCUUUUCUGCAAACCAAAGGUCAUCGACGUCAUGACGCAGAAUGGAACAAACACCCCUGACUGUAUCAAUAGUGCUGAGGCAGAAGUAAUCAAGAGCUUCCAGUUCCUCGGAGUAAAUAUCACCAACAAUCCAUCCUGGUCCAUCCACGUCAACACUACAGUCAAGAAUGCACACCAAUGCCUCUACUUCCUCAGAAGGCUAAGCAAAUGCAACACAUCCACAACAACUCUCACCAAUUUUUACAUAUGCACCAGAGAAAGGAUCCUAUUUGGAUGCAUUACAGAUUGGUAUGGCAACUGCUCUGCCCAAGACUGCAAGAAAUUAUAGAGUUGUAAACAUUGGCCAGUCCAUCACGAAAACUAGCCCUCCUUCCAUU
Long non-coding RNA from Rhincodon typus (whale shark), 630 nucleotides. RefSeq lists it as uncharacterized. The record is from RefSeq and is a predicted model, not a curated record. The transcript is spliced from 3 exons. Lineage: Eukaryota; Metazoa; Chordata; Chondrichthyes; Orectolobiformes; Rhincodontidae.